GAUGAACGCUAGCGGCAGGCUUAACACAUGCAAGUCGAGGGGUAACAGGGAGUGCUUGCACUCCGCUGACGACCGGCGCACGGGUGCGUAACGCGUAUGCUACCUACCUUUUACAGGGGGAUAGUCAAGAGAAAUUUUGAAUAAUACCCCAUACGAUCUUAGUCACACCUGUGAUUUAGAGGAAAACUUCGGUGGUAAAAGAUGGGCAUGCGUCCUAUUAGUUAGAUGGUGAGGUAACGGCUCCCCAUGACUACGAUAGGUAGGGGUCCUGAGAGGGAGAUCCCCCACACUGGUACUGAGACACGGACCAGACUCUUACGGGAGGCAGCAGUGAGGAAUAUUGGACAAUGGAGGCAACUCUGAUCCAGCCAUGCCGCGUGCAGGAAGACUGCCCUAUGGGUUGUAAACUGCUUUUAUACAGGAAGAAACACUCCCUCGUGAGGGGGCUUGACGGUACUGUACGAAUAAGGAUCGGCUAACUCCGUGCCAGCAGCCGCGGUAAUACGGAGGAUCCAAGCGUUAUCCGGAAUCAUUGGGUUUAAAGGGUCCGUAGGUGGUUUGCUAAGUCAGAGGUGAAAUCCUGCCGCUUAACGGUAGAACUGCCUUUGAUACUGGCAAACUUGAGUUAUUGUGAAGUAGUUAGAAUGUGUAGUGUAGCGGUGAAAUGCAUAGAUUUUACACCGAAUACCGAUUGCGAAGGCUGAUUACUAACAAUAUACUGACACUGAGGGACGAAAGCCUGGGUAGCGAACAGGAUUAGAUACCCCUGGUAGUCCACGCCGUAAACGAUGGUCACUAACUGUUUGACUAACAUUGGGUGAGUUGAGUGGCUAAGCUAAAAGUGAAAAGUUGACCCCCCCUGGGGAAGUACGCUCCCCAAAAUUGAAACUCCAAAGGAAUUUGAAAGGGGGCCCCGCACAAACCGCUGGAACAAAGGGGGUUAAUUUUAAUGAUUUCCCGAGGAACCUUUCCCCGGGGCUUAAAAUGUAAGUU
This 993-nucleotide ribosomal RNA is filed under the name uncultured bacterium. Its description in RNAcentral is "bacterial SSU rRNA". It matches the Rfam family "Bacterial small subunit ribosomal RNA", at positions 28 to 994 of the family's 1533-position model. The record is from RNAcentral.